This 546-nucleotide ribosomal RNA is filed under the name uncultured bacterium. RNAcentral describes it as "bacterial SSU rRNA". It matches the Rfam family "Bacterial small subunit ribosomal RNA", at positions 279 to 842 of the family's 1533-position model. The record is from RNAcentral.
AUCGGUAGCCGGACUGAGAGGUUGGACGGCCACAUUGGGACUGAGACACGGCCCAGACUCCUACGGGAGGCAGCAGUAAGGGAUAUUGGUCAAUGGGGGAAACCCUGAACCAGCAACGCCGCGUGAGGGAAGACGGUUUUCGGAUUGUAAACCUCUGUCCUCUGUGAAGAUGAUGACGGUAGCAGAGGAGGAAGCUCCGGCUAACUACGUGCCAGCAGCCGCGGUAAUACGUAGGGAGCGAGCGUUGUCCGGAUUUACUGGGUGUAAAGGGUGCGUAGGCGGCUGUGCAAGUCAGUAGUGAAAUCCAUGGGCUUAACCCAUGAACUGCUAUUGAAACUGCACAGCUUGAGUGAAGUAGAGGUAGGCGGAAUUCCCGGUGUAGCGGUGAAAUGCGUAGAGAUCGGGAGGAACACCAGUGGCGAAGGCGGCCUACUGGGCUUUAACUGACGCUGAGGCACGAAAGCGUGGGUAGCAAACAGGAUUAGAUACCCUGGUAGUCCACGCUGUAAACGAUGAUUACUAGGUGUGGGGGGACUGAACCCUUCC